AUGGAGCUCGCUCCGGCUGUCGACCACACUCGCCGCCCGCGCAACAGCCACAAGGUCAUCGCUUCCACCCCUGCAAUGGAGCACCAAGUGGCCCUGCUCACCCAGCAUGCCGUCGUCAUCACUGCGGUCGGCACCAAGGCGCACGCCGCAAGCCCUCUGUCCAUCGGGAGGGCGCUGGAGAAGGAGCUGAAGGUCCCGCCUCACCUGCUGCGCGUGACCGCCCACGACCCUGAAGAUUUCUUCGUCUUCUUCAACCUGCCGGGGCACAAAGAUCUGGCGGUGCGGCACGGCUCGCUCAUCGUCGAUGGAGUGCCGUUCCUGCUGGAGCCCUGGCGGGAGGACGCCCACGCCGUGCACCAGAAGUGGAUGCUGCACGUCCGGGUGGUCAUCGAGAAGCUGCCCAUGCAGCUCUGGACGCUCGAGGGCGCGGUGGAGGUUCUUGGAGACAAGGUGAUCGUCGACCGCCUCGACAGCCGAACUUUUGAGCGCGCCGACACCAAGCUAUUCGCAUGCUGGGUCUGGGUCUGGAACCUCUCCUUCAUCCCGACCAAGAGGACGAUCUGGAAGCAUGCGAGGGGGGCGGGCCGCGUGGAAGAGAUGCUCGGCUACUCGCCACCGAGCCGCGCGGUCGCUCCUCCGCCGGAGCUGCUGCAGUAUGACCUGCUGCUACACAUGGACCGCGUCGAGGACUGGACGCCGCUCUCGCCGCGCUCCUCGCACUCGCCGCAGAGUGGCCUCCCCUCCGACGAUGAUGAAGACGACGACCGGCCAUACCCCCGCAUCGACCCUGGGGUCUGGACCGUGCGUGUUGAAGACGGGCGGCCCGCGCAACCCCAGGCGCCCCUGCUGCGCCCACCUCCGCGUGUCUCCUCCUCUGGCUGGAAAGGGAUGCCGCUGGGGGGUGCACGCAGGGAGCAUGACGGAGAUGACCGAGGACACCACCGCCACUCCUGGAGGGAAGCGCUGCUAGGUAGAGGGCGCGCGGCGGACCACGGCAAGGCACCCAAGGCCACCACCAGACACCGCAGCCGCACCCCGACGUCAAGGCACCGCCAAUGUGCGCCUGGAGACCGGCUGCCUGACGUUGAGGCUCGCCCGCAGGCACCCCGGGAGCGCGCCCACGCCGGCCCGAGGGGCGAGGGCAAAGAGGGCGCUCGCUCGUCGGUCUUGAAGGAGAAAGCGCCGACCAAGGGAAAGCUGCAGAUGCCGGGGCAGGGGGGAGCGCCAGUGUCCCUGCUCGCCCCACCAUGA
This 1251-nucleotide ribosomal RNA is filed under the name Triticum aestivum (bread wheat). Its description in RNAcentral is "partial small subunit ribosomal RNA". Lineage: Eukaryota; Viridiplantae; Streptophyta; Magnoliopsida; Poales; Poaceae. The record is from RNAcentral.